GAUCCUGGCUCAGGAUGAACGCUGGCGGCGUGCUUAACACAUGCAAGUCGAGCGAAGCGCUUAUGAAAGAUUCUUCGGAUGAAUUCAUUUGUGACUGAGCGGCGGACGGGUGAGUAACGCGUGGGUAACCUGCCUUAUACAGGGGGAUAACAGUUGGAAACGACUGCUAAUACCGCAUAAGCGCACAGUACCGCAUGGUACAGUGUGAAAAACUCCGGUGGUAUGAGAUGGACCCGCG
RNAcentral lists this ribosomal RNA (238 nucleotides) under uncultured bacterium. RNAcentral's name for it is "partial 16S ribosomal RNA". It matches the Rfam family "Bacterial small subunit ribosomal RNA", at positions 15 to 235 of the family's 1533-position model. The record is from RNAcentral.